CACGUAGGUGGCGAGCGUUAUCCGGAAUUACUGGGCGUAAAGGGCGCGCAGGCGGCCAUUUAAGUUUGACGUAAAAGCUCCUGGCUUAACUGGGAGAGGUCGUUGGAGACUGAAUGGCUUGAGGCAAUGAGAGGGGUGCGGAAUUCCCGGUGUAGUGGUGGAAUGCGUAGAUAUCGGGAGGAACACCAGUGGCGAAAGCGGCACCCUGGCAUUGGACUGACGCUGAAGUGCGAAAGCGUGGGGAGCGAACGGG
RNAcentral lists this ribosomal RNA (253 nucleotides) under uncultured bacterium. RNAcentral's name for it is "partial 16S ribosomal RNA". It matches the Rfam family "Bacterial small subunit ribosomal RNA", at positions 524 to 776 of the family's 1533-position model. The record is from RNAcentral.